AUGUCGACGGUGACCCGCGCCUACCUCGAUCAGAGGCUCGCCGCCGCCAACCGCUGCUCCAAAGAGGCUGCCAUGGCCGGAGCCAAGGCCGCGGCCGUCGCCUCCGUCGCGGCCGCAGUGCCCACCCUGGCGAGCGUGAGGAUGCUUCCGUGGGCGAGGGCGCACCUGAACCCAACCGGGCAGGCCCUCAUCAUCUCCACCGUCGCCGGGAUGGCCUACUUCAUCGUGGCCGAUAAGACCAUCCUCUCCAUGGCAAGGAAGCACUCCUUCGAGGACGCGCCGGACCACCUCAAGAACACCUCCUUCAACUAA
RNAcentral lists this ribosomal RNA (312 nucleotides) under Triticum aestivum (bread wheat). Its description in RNAcentral is "partial small subunit ribosomal RNA". Lineage: Eukaryota; Viridiplantae; Streptophyta; Magnoliopsida; Poales; Poaceae. The record is from RNAcentral.